RNAcentral lists this ribosomal RNA (153 nucleotides) under uncultured bacterium. RNAcentral's name for it is "partial 16S ribosomal RNA". It matches the Rfam family "Bacterial small subunit ribosomal RNA", at positions 335 to 480 of the family's 1533-position model. The record is from RNAcentral.
ACUCCUACGGGAGGCAGCAGUAGGGAAUCUUCCACAAUGGGCGCAAGCCUGAUGGAGCAACGCCGCGUGUGUGAUGAAGGGUUUCGGCUCGUAAAACACUGUUAUAAGAGAAGAACGGCACUGAGAGUAACUGUUCAGUGUGUGACGGUAUCU